Molecule: long non-coding RNA, 1230 nt
Organism: Pezoporus flaviventris
Lineage: Eukaryota; Metazoa; Chordata; Aves; Psittaciformes; Psittacidae
Exons: 3
Source: RefSeq, a predicted model, not a curated record
CAGGAAGGAGAAAUAAAAGCCAGUCUUGCAAACAUGUAAGAAACUGCAAAAAUACAUAUUGGUCAGUAAUAUCCUCUUUUGGAUUAAAGCUACUCCAGGACUUCCCUCAAAGCCUUGCUCACAACUGAAUAGAUAUGUGUGACCCUAGGCAUUGCUGGAGUUCAUUACUGCCCUUCAGGUGAAAUUAGCACAAGGAUGCACCUGAACUUGUUUUUUUUCUGUCAGCAGAAAGCACUAAUUCAGCUACUUGUCUAUGGAGAGAGAAAAGCCUAUGUUACCACCUACAUGCAAUGAAACCUAAGAAUUUUUGCUACUUGGCCAUUGCCCAGCCAUCAGUAUCAUCUUCAUGUCUAUCAUUUUCACCUGUGAGUCCAUUUUUUACAAGAAGAAAUUGCUUUUCUGACUAUGACUGAAACUCCCCCCUCCACAUUUUAAUGUUUAUAUGUUGUUCUGGUACUCAUGAUUUAAAAGCAAUGGAAAAUGCAAAGUAUAGGAAGAGCUGAUUUGUUGUACAUUCAGAAUUUAGCUAAAAAGAAAGAAGGGAACUAUGAUUUUGAUUCAGUGAGAUAUGUAAGCAUGUGUAUAACAAUAAACACUUGACUAUUCCUGUUGAUACUUUUAAAUUGUAGUUGUGUUCCUUGCCCUACACCUUUCAGGAGUUUUGAGCAUAUUUCCAAGUCUCCUUCUUUUAUGAGAUUUCUUACAGUGCUAUAUGAAUGUCACUUGGAGGAGGAGUAAAGAUAUUUCAAGAGCUGCUUGUAUUUUUCUACUGUAACAUUAAGCAUAUAUGAUGCUCAUAAAUACACAAUCAACUAUCAAGUGCAUAGACUCUGGAAAUGUCAACUGCUUAUACUGAUCACUUUAGAAAGAGCUGGAAUUUUGGCACUGGUAUUAAUCACUACAACAAUUCUGUUGACAGGAAGUAUUUACCCAUAUUACACUAGCUAAAGAGCACAGGGAAAUCCAGUAGUGCUGUGCAAGGUGAUAGAGAUAAGGACAAAUUCUCUGGGUAUUGUUCACUUUUGAAACAGACUCCUUGACUGGUCUCUCACUGGGGUUAUUAGUAAUAUUGGUAUUACAUUCUGAAAAUACGAUUGGACCUUUAGCGUCUGUAGUAUAUGUUUUCAGGUUCUCACUUAGUGCUCCUAGUGCUAGUUAUGUCAUUACCAGAAUUUCUCCUAGUUUUAAAUAUCCCACGUUAUUGUUUGGCAUAAUGCAAGCACAGCUACA